Molecule: long non-coding RNA, 319 nt
Filed under: Homo sapiens (human)
Lineage: Eukaryota; Metazoa; Chordata; Mammalia; Primates; Hominidae
Description: non-protein coding lnc-RSBN1L-5:1
Source: RNAcentral
ACAAAUUCUGAAUAUUUCUAAAUUACUUUUAUAACUUUUAUUAUUAUUUUGUUAGGAUGUAACAUACGUAUGACAACUGAUUUGUUACUGGUUUAUUAAAAAUUUGGUUUCAUUUUGGAUAAAAUUUCAAUAAUAUACUGUAGCAGAAUGUGGAUACUACCAUGAAUUGACUAUGGUUUAUGUUUUGAUAUGUGAUAUAACUAAAAUUUUAGUUAUUCUAAAGAUUCCCAUUUUUUUCCUGAUGACUAAAUAUGCUUGCCAAAAAUUGCAUGCAUGUUGAAGUGUGAGGAUAUUUAAUAACGUUACUAGCAAAGAUGAG